AUGAACGCUGGCGGCGUGCCUAAUACAUGCAAGUCGAGCGAACGGACGAGAAGCUUGCUUCUCUGAUGUUAGCGGCGGACGGGUGAGUAACACGUGGAUAACCUACCUAUAAGACUGGGAUAACUUCGGGAAACCGGAGCUAAUACCGGAUAAUAUUUUGAACCGCAUGGUUCAAAAGUGAAAGACGGUCUUGCUGUCACUUAUAGAUGGAUCCGCGCUGCAUUAGCUAGUUGGUAAGGUAACGGCUUACCAAGGCAACGAUGCAUAGCCGACCUGAGAGGGUGAUCGGCCACACUGGAACUGAGACACGGUCCAGACUCCUACGGGAGGCAGCAGUAGGGAAUCUUCCGCAAUGGGCGAAGGCCUGACGGAGCAACGCCGCGUGAGUGAUGAAGGUCUUCGGAUCGUAAAACUCUGUUAUUAGGGAAGAACAUAUGUGUAAGUAACUGUGCACAUCUUGACGGUACCUAAUCAGAAAGCCACGGCUAACUACGUG
RNAcentral lists this ribosomal RNA (496 nucleotides) under uncultured bacterium. RNAcentral's name for it is "partial 16S ribosomal RNA". It matches the Rfam family "Bacterial small subunit ribosomal RNA", at positions 29 to 507 of the family's 1533-position model. The record is from RNAcentral.